UAGGAUUAGAUGGGCGAAAUUGGACACUAAUACCAGGGGAAGACAAUGGGUAUCCAGCUAAAAUAGGCCCUUCAUCAGUCAGUCUCCAUAUAAUCAACGUACAAUCGUCGCCCACAGAUGCUAUCACCUGCUCAGCGAGACGAUUAUCAGCGGAAUAGACGUCUGCAAUAUCGAUAUCAUUCACAAAAUUAUGAUGCCCAGAUUUUCCGCCCAACACAUGUUGAGUAAUAAUGGUUUCAUUCUUUGUAAUUAUUAGACGAACUGUAUUAUCCUGACACACACAUGCAAGAAACAAAGAAUACACAGGUGAGGAAUUCACAUUUCCAUCGCCAUCAUGCAAAUUCUCAGAAUAACUACAGCUAGAUGAAAAAGAAAGAUGCAAAGUGGGUAACCCAGUUUGAAUAGUGAACAACUCUUGUAAUGUCAAACCUGUAGAUCCGGGCGUCUGUUCUUCUGAAGCACAAUAAAUAGUGAUACCCGUA
Non-coding RNA from Schizosaccharomyces pombe (fission yeast), 482 nucleotides. Lineage: Eukaryota; Fungi; Ascomycota; Schizosaccharomycetes; Schizosaccharomycetales; Schizosaccharomycetaceae. The record is from the annotation of a GenBank genome assembly.